This 1128-nucleotide ribosomal RNA is filed under the name human gut metagenome. Its description in RNAcentral is "bacterial LSU rRNA". It matches the Rfam family "Bacterial large subunit ribosomal RNA", at positions 839 to 1991 of the family's 2925-position model. The record is from RNAcentral.
CCGGAGAUAGCUGGUUCUCCUCGAAAUAGCUUUAGGGCUAGCCUCGUAUUAGUUUAGCGGAGGUAGAGCACUGAAUUUCCUAGGGGGCGUCAAAGUCUACCGAAGAAUAUCAAACUCCGAAUGCCGCAUAAAUGAUGUACGGGAGUCAGACUGCACGAGAUAAGUUGGGUAGUCAAAAGGGAAAGAGCCCAGACCUACAGCUAAGGUCCCAAAGUGUGUGUUAAGUGGAAAAGGAUGUGGGAUUUCGAAGACAACUAGGAUGUUGGCUCAGAAGCAGCCACACAUUCAAAGAGUGCGUAAUAGCUCACUAGUCGAGAGGUCCUGCGCCGAAAAUGUCCGGGGCUAAAACACAACACCGAAGCUUAGGAAUGUAAUUAUACAUUGGUAGAGGAGCAUUCUUAAAGAGACGAAGCAGUACCGAUAAGGAGCUGUGGAUUUUUAAGAAGAGAGAAUGCCGGAAUGAGUAGCGAGAUGGAGGUGGGAAUCCUCCAGGCCGAAUAUCUAAGGUUUCCAGAGUAAAGCUGAUCUGCUCUGGGUAAGUCGGGGCCUAAGGCGAGGUCGAAAGACGUAGUCGAUGGAUAACAGGUUGAAAUUCCUGUACUGCAUAUCAUCAGAACUGUGGGGACACAGAGAGAUACCGGAACCUGGGAAUGAAGAUACCAGGGCAAGCGAGGUAGGUGCUAAGCUGGCAAAUCCGCUUAGUAAGCCGAAGACGUGAUGCGGAGCGAAUUAAAGUAGCGAAGUCCGGGAUUCGAGCUGUCGAGAAAAGCCGCUAUUGCGUGAUAUGUACCCGUACCGUAAACCGACACAGGUGGAUGAGGAGAGAAUCCUAAGGCCGGCGGGAGAAGCAUUGUUAAGGAACUCGGCAAAAUGACCCUGUAACUUCGGGAUAAAGGGUGCCACAGAGAUGUGGCCGCAGAGAAUAGGCUCAAGCAACUGUUUAGCAAAAACACAGGUCUAUGCGAAACCGAAAGGUGAGGUAUAUGGGCUGACGCCUGCCCGGUGCUGGAAGGUUAAGAGGAGAGGUUAGCGCAAGCGAAGCUUUGAAUUUAAGCCCCAGUAAACGGCGGCCGUAACUAUAACGGUCCUAAGGUAGCGAAAUUCCUUGUCGGGUAAGUUCCGACCCGC